GGUUAAAAUCUGCAGCAGGGGUGUAAAUUUAAUUUUUUAUCGGGUGUAUUUAUAGUCUGUGUUUGGGUGUAUUAUGCAGAUCUCUAUGCAGACCGUCAUAUAUGGGUUCCAAUCUAUCUGGAUCACCACUUCAUAUUA
This is a long non-coding RNA of Arachis duranensis, 138 nucleotides long. RefSeq lists it as uncharacterized. The record is from RefSeq and is a predicted model, not a curated record. The transcript is spliced from 2 exons. Lineage: Eukaryota; Viridiplantae; Streptophyta; Magnoliopsida; Fabales; Fabaceae.